GUUGUGGCUCAGUGGUAAAGCAUUUGCCUAGCAUGCAUGAGGCACUGGGUUCAAUCCUCAGCACUACA
Molecule: transfer RNA, 68 nt
Filed under: Marmota monax (woodchuck)
Lineage: Eukaryota; Metazoa; Chordata; Mammalia; Rodentia; Sciuridae
Description: tRNA.Ala
Rfam family: tRNA (bases 3-63)
About the family: Transfer RNA (tRNA) molecules are approximately 80 nucleotides in length.
Source: RNAcentral